ACGGCUCAGUAACACGUGGACAACCUACCCUGAAGAGGGGGAUAACCCCGGGAAACUGGGGAUAAUACCCCAUAGACUAUGGAUGCUGGAAUGCUCUGUAGUUCAAAGGUCCGCCGCUUCAGGAUGGGUCUGCGGCCGAUUAGGUUGUUGUUGGGGUAACGGCCCAACAAGCCUGUAAUCGGUACGGGUUGUGGGAGCAAGAGCCCGGAGAUGGAUUCUGAGACACGAAUCCAGGCCCUACGGGGCGCAGCAGGCGCGAAAACUUUGCAAUGCGAGAAAUCGUGACAAGGGAACUCCGAGUGCCUGUAAAAUCAGGCUGUCCGCCAGUGUAAACAACUGGUGAAGAAAGGGCCGGGCAAGACCGGUGCCAGCCGCCGCGGUAAUACCGGCGGCUCGAGUGGUGGCCACUAUUACUGGGCUUAAAGCGUUCGUAGCUGGCUUGUUAAGUCUCUGGGGAAAUCUUCCGGCUUAACCGGAAGGCGUCUCAGGGAUACUGGCAGGCUAGGGACCGGAAGAGGUGAGAGGUACUCCGGGGGUAGGAGUGAAAUCCUGUAAUCCUUGGGGGACCACCUGUGGCGAAGGCGUCUCACCAGGACGGCUCCGACAGUGAGGAACGAAAGCUGGGGGAGUAAACCGGAUUAGAUACCCGGGUAGUCCCAGCUGUAAACGAUGCGCGUUAGGUGUAUCGGUGACCACGAGUCACCGAGGUGCCGAAGAGAAAUCGUGAAACGUGCCGCCUGGGAAGUACGGUCGCAAGGCUGAAACUUAAAGGAAUUGGCGGGGGAGCAC
Molecule: ribosomal RNA, 789 nt
Filed under: uncultured archaeon
Lineage: Archaea
Description: bacterial SSU rRNA
Rfam family: Archaeal small subunit ribosomal RNA
Source: RNAcentral